GGCAGCUGAGUGGUUAAAGCACUUGACUGCUAACCAAAAUGUCGGUGGUUUCAACCCAUCAGCCG
This 65-nucleotide transfer RNA is filed under the name Loxodonta africana (African savanna elephant). It matches the Rfam family "tRNA". From Rfam's summary of the family: Transfer RNA (tRNA) molecules are approximately 80 nucleotides in length. Their secondary structure includes four short double-helical elements and three loops (D, anti-codon, and T loops). The record is from Rfam by way of RNAcentral. Lineage: Eukaryota; Metazoa; Chordata; Mammalia; Proboscidea; Elephantidae.